This 74-nucleotide transfer RNA is filed under the name Candidatus Uhrbacteria bacterium. RNAcentral's name for it is "tRNA-Val". It matches the Rfam family "tRNA". Rfam says of the family: Transfer RNA (tRNA) molecules are approximately 80 nucleotides in length. Their secondary structure includes four short double-helical elements and three loops (D, anti-codon, and T loops). The record is from RNAcentral. Lineage: Bacteria; Candidatus Uhriibacteriota.
GCGCGUAUAGCUCAGUUGGUUAGAGCGCCUCGUUUACACCGAGGAGGUCCAAGGUUCGAAUCCUUGUGCGCGCA